AUUUACGAAUGGACAAUCUGACAGCACAGUUGCAGUCACCAACGCUCUGGAUAAUGUAACAGCCUAACCAGCUCUGCUAGGUCAUUGGCAGCAGAGAACCGGAAGGAGAGGCGGCCGAAGGAGGAAUUGGCUUUGGGGGUGACCAGUGAGAUAUACCUGCUGGAGCGCGUGCUACAGAUAAGGACUGUCACAAUCCCGCCGGUACUGCUGCUCAUUCCGUUCACCAGCAUCAGAGGUCUACGUCGCCGGCCUUCUUGGCGUCACUGAACUGGAUUCAUUACAACCAACCCCGGACUGUCUUGCCUCAUUACACACACCUGGUUCCCAUUCCCCCUGAUUAGUAUGUGUAUAUAUAUGUGCCCUCUGUUCCCUAUUGUCCUUGUCGAUUAUUGUUCCAUGUCCGUAGGACUUGUGCUCUGUUGUAUCGGCUUUCGUGCUACGUGUUAUUGUGCACUUGUUAUUACGGGUCUCAUCCCGUGUAGUAUUUAGAGGUUUACACCUUGCUCUUUUGUUUGGGUUACAUCCCUGUGUGUGUGUGUGUGUGUGUGUGUGUGUGUGUGUG
RNAcentral lists this long non-coding RNA (562 nucleotides) under Salmo salar (Atlantic salmon). RNAcentral's name for it is "lncRNA (ENSSSAG00000093216.1)". Lineage: Eukaryota; Metazoa; Chordata; Actinopteri; Salmoniformes; Salmonidae. The record is from RNAcentral.